AGUGAACGCUGGCGGUAGGUCUAACACAUGCAAGUCGAACGGCAGCACAGUAAGAGCUUGCUCUUACGGGUGGUGAGUGUCUGACGCGAGAGAAAUACAUCGGAAUGUACCUUUUCGUGGGUGAUAACGGAGGGCAACAUACGCAAAUACCGAAUACGACCCACGGGUGAAAGCAGGGGAUCAUCGGACCUUGCGCGAGUGAGUGAGCCGAUGUCGGAUUAGCUAGGUGGCGGGGUAAAGGCCCACCUAGGGGACGAUCCGUAGCCGGCCUGAGAAGAUGAUCCGCCACUCUCGAACAGAUACACGGUCCAGACUCUUACAGUAGGCAGCAGUGGAAAAUACUGAACAAUAAACGGAGGCCUGAGCCAACCAACCCGCGUGGGUGAAAAAGGCCUUCGAGUUGUAAAGCCCUUUUGUUGGGAAAGAAAAGCAGCAGGUUAAUACCCAGCUGUUCUAACGGUACCCAAAGAAUAAGCACCGGCUAACUUCGUG
RNAcentral lists this ribosomal RNA (492 nucleotides) under uncultured bacterium. Its description in RNAcentral is "partial 16S ribosomal RNA". It matches the Rfam family "Bacterial small subunit ribosomal RNA", at positions 29 to 507 of the family's 1533-position model. The record is from RNAcentral.